CUCAUUUAUUGAUCUUCUUUAAAUAUAUUUACUCUUAUGAAAGUGCAGGUUAUUACAAUAAUCCUACCAAUGUUUUUAUCUGUUUACAAUUUAUCUGUAAAUAUUCAAUAAACCAUUUACAUUCUUUUAGAAUUAAAAAAAUUGUUAUCUUGAUUUCUUAUUCUUCCGGUAAAUUUUGCUAUGUCUGCCACACAGAACCAUUUCCAGACCCUCCACGUGUUCCUAUUUUCCAGCGACAGUAGUCUUAAAUUUACAGAAGCCUUCCUGGUUUGUGGUUUGAUCCUGGAAUGUCCUGCUUUUCCUUAGGAGGUCCCUGUUUUCACCAGCGAAAUAUUGGAGGGUAUGGAGUUAUGUGGCCCCUGAGCCAAGGAGAUAAAUAACUACACAACCUUUAGAAGACAUCUGAAGGCAGCCCCCUUAUAGGGAAGUUUUGAAAUGUGUACAUUAUGUUUUUAUAUAUGUUGGGAGCCACCCAGAGUGGCUGAGGCAACCCAGUCACUUGGGCAGGGUAUAAAGAAUAAAAUUACUACUACUAUGGGAAUAAGAUGUCCCUAUUUUGAUCGGAUAAAUGUUGGAGGGUUUGCGUUCCACGCUGCAACAUGAUGUUGCGGAUCCCACGUGCCUGAUGUAAUAGUCCUUCUGCCAAGAGAACCCUGAGAACUUCCAUUCUCUAAGGGAAACUGGAGGUCUUUAAUAGAGAAUUCUCAACACAUUAAACACACUACAGUUCCUCAUAUUCUUUAGGCGAGGUCAUGGUGGAAACACUGGCAUGAACCUGGUGUAAACUGCAUUGUAGGAGUGCUUUCAGCGCGGCAGAUUUCUAAUUGAAAUGAACGAGCCUGUUCCACAGUAUCUGUUAGUUAGCGCGUUCACCGCCAUCCUUGCAAGAAACUGGCAGCGGAAAUGACUUCAGAGGAGAACAAAGAAAUAUAAAGCAUGCGUACGUGAAAAGGAAUAUGCAAGGGACAUUAAAAACUGCACCACAUGCCGAAUUGCCCACCUCACCCCAGCCUGCACUUUGACAAAACUUAAAUAAGCCUUGUCAAGCCCUUCUGAGGUAGGCAGGCAUGUUUUGCCCUUCCAACUCAUUACAAAGCAUCCUAAUCUUUUGUCGAUUCAGCAAUUGACACACAAAGCAACGCUGUCUCUUCCCUUAAGAAAGCAAAGGGAAAGUACCUGUGGAUAUGUGUGCUAAUAUAUAUAGGAAGUUCCAAUAAAAGGCUUUCUGCAAAUACAUGGUUUAUACAAUACAGCUUGCUUAAUAUUUCCAGGAAGAGGUUAUUAGGGGUGGGAGGGGGUGGGGAGAGAUCAUUUAUCAAAUCAUUAAUAUGUAUUUAGGUAAUAAAGGCAACGGGGCAAAACUCACCAAACAGUGCCACCUGCUGGAGGCCGCUUGCUACUACCUCAUGAACUCAUUGCCUAUGUCGCUCGUUUACCUUGCCGGCUUAAAUAUAUAUUAUUUGCCGGCGCAGUUCUAGGGCUGGGCCUGCGACUAAAAUGGUUUGAAACGCAAACGGUGUGCGUGCAAAGUGCCUGCCCCCUCCCGGGGGGGGGGGGACACACAACAAUUUUGUCUGAUUGCUCCUGCAAUUUGUUCUCUCUCUCCCUCCCUCCCCCCCCCUCUCUCUCUGGUCCUCUGUGCAAUUUUGACCCAGUAAGAGUGAUGUCCCCCUGUUGCCUAGGCAACAGAGUGAUGCUCACUCUCUUCCCACAAUGGCUGCAGCCUCACGACACUGCCCAGGGAGAGUGCGAGCAUUGUCCAGUUGCCUAGGCAACUUGGGGACAUGCUUUCUUCCCCCUACCCCUAGCACAGUGGGCAGACUCUACCUAGUUUCAUGGAACAUCCUCACAGCACUGGCAGGUGGAGACAAUGUUCAACUCUGCAGUUCAGAAACAAAGCUGAAAAGUUACACAGGCUGUAGGUGGAAAUCUUCCUCUCCCAGAGGGCCUUUUCUGCAUGCUGUGAACAAUGAAUUGUCCCAUUUACAGUGGGACUUCAGGUUACAUACGCUUCAGGUUACAGACUCCACUAACCCAGAAAUAGUGCUUCAGGUUUUAAACAAAAUCUUGCCAUUGGUGAAGCAGCUGGUUUUAAAAAUAAGACAUAAUGUUUGGGGCAUAUGCCAUGUAAAACUGGAUAUAAUUCUUUUCAGAAACUUGAAGAUAAUACAAUACAGUGGUACCUCAGGUUACAUACACUUCAGGUUACAGACUCCGCUAACCCAGAAAUAUUACCUUGGGUUAAGAACUUUGCUUCAGGAUGAGAAGAGAAAUCGUGCUCCGGCGGUGCGGCGGCAGCAGGAGGCCCCAUUAGCUAAAGUGGUGCUUCAGGUUAAGAACAGUUUCAGGUUAAGAACAGAACUCCUGAACGAAUUAAGUACUUAACCCAAGGUACCACUGUACUCUUUUUUUGCACUGAGAACUUUGCUUCUCUUCUAUUGAAACUGUGAUUUCAGGCUUCGAUCAAUUCUAUUUUCAAGUUGUUUUAUGAUGUAUUGUUUUAUUGCUGUUGGUGGGAGUAGGUCAGUAGGUUGAUAGUAUUUCAGACUGCAACCUCCCCCCUCUGAGUUGCUUUGAAAAUUAAGUGAAAUGUAUAGUUAUAUAUUGAAAAAGAACCUUUUUUAUUGUUAUUUUAUGUUUAUGGUGUAUAAUCUUUAGGAUACUUUAACUGGAAAAGCAGACAAUAAGAUAAUGGUAUCGGGGCCAUGGCAUACUUUAAAUAACUAUAUGUGAUUAUUAUCAUUAUUACUAAGCAAAUAAAAACAUUUGUUGCUCACAAUGCCACCUUCUAAUUUUGCUAACAGAUACACGGUGUGGCCAAAGCCACACAUUCAAAACCUGGUGUAGAAGAAGCCUAUUUUAUACAUUUUCCACACCUGUAGCAUUUUAAUAUGAUUGUUUUGUCAUGUUUAUUUUAAUGUUUCCGGAACUGGUUUUUAUAUUCCGUAAACUGCUUAAAAGCCUAUAAGGUAUUUGUUAUUGUGUGCUUUAAUUAUAUAUUGAUUUUAUAGUUAAACCAGUAAGGAGCCAUUUUGGAAUGUAAAUUAAGUAUAAAUUAAUAUAUUAUUAUCCUCAUCAAUCACCAUCAUCACAACACAGAAGCAAAAAUAAAUGACAAUACUGAUAAUUCAAAUGAACAGAGGUAAAUCCUCAAGCAAUUUGCCUGCAGUCAACCACUUGACAAAAAUAGGACAAUGCUUACUUCAAAUGGUGCUGAUAGGAAAGGAGCUGGUUAUUUCAGUCCAUUGCCAUGAAACCCUUCUUCAUUAAAGUUGGGGCAUAUCAUUUUUAUAGAAGUUUAACUGUUGUGUCUUCCCCCAAAGAGUCUAGGAAAUUGCAGUUUGACGGGAGUGUGGUGAAUUCUCUCUUAGGCAAUUCCUGUUCCCCCUACAGAAUUACACGUCAGAGAAUUCCCUGAGGGAACAACGAUAGAAGCAAUUUAAAAAUGGCCUUUCUGUCCAGGAAUUAGAAGACAACAGCACCACGGCUCAUGAUGAGCUGUCCGUUCUGCUUUCCCAUAGUUUCUUUUACAUCGAGUGUGCCAUUGUAAGUCAGGAUUUGCUUGGCAUUAUAUACAUGCCCCAUAUCAUCGGAUUUCAGGACAGUUUGAAAGCACACAAAACACAAGACCAGUUAGGACUGGUCAGUUAGAUCCAUCAGUUCUCCCACCUGAUGAAACAGUGGCUGGUCCUAAGGAAGGGAGAACAACUUCCCUUUAGUUGCUAGGCAACCAGAAUGGCCUUGGCGGCCAUGUUGGGAUGCUUGUCAAGAUGGCUGGACCGGGGCUGAAAAGCAGUAAUGGUGGAGGUCCCCAAAAGCAACAACAAGCACACAUAGGCUCAAACUAUGGAGUUAUGUUGGCUGGGCGUGUUCCUUCAUGGUGGUUUUGUUUCUGAACCAAAACUAGCCCUAGACUGGCUACAGGACAGGAAGGGUGUAUGGAAAAGGCUACUGAAGCCCUUCUUAUUUAGUCCAUUUUCAUCUCUUUCUCUAUAUGUUAUUCACCUACCUGAGAAAUGAUGCAGAGCCCCGUAUCUCCCCACUGCUGUUCAUCCUGCAAGUAAAGAAGUUUUAGGAAUGAUUCUGAGCUGGGAAAUUACCAGGUCUUCCCUAACCUCCCAUCUCUCACCCAGCCACAGGCUGCUUUGGGUUUGAAUUAUAUCGGAGGAAGGAAUUAUGGAAAUGCACAUAGGGUGCCAUUUUAGCCACAAUUUGUGCUGGUCAGCUCUGGUACGUGGUCAUGUGCAUGAACCAACCCUGGGCUGACUUGUAUACAUCACUGAUUUUCCAACAGGUGACUCAGGAUCCCACCAAGUUUUUCCAUCAUUCUUUGCUCACACAGCCACACCACUUUAACAUCUGUAAAAGUGG
RNAcentral lists this long non-coding RNA (4371 nucleotides) under Podarcis lilfordi (Lilford's wall lizard). Lineage: Eukaryota; Metazoa; Chordata; Lepidosauria; Squamata; Lacertidae. The record is from RNAcentral.